GAUUUUUGUCACGAUACCAAAGAAAUUGCGUGAGUUUCAUGUGAUUAUUUAGCAGUUAUGGCCAUUAAAACUAACAGAGUGGUAAAGAUGGAGAUAAAAAAAUAAUAUCAAAAAUAGAUUGGAGACCUAAUUUAUAUGCUGAGGAGCUGAUGCAGCGGGGGGCCUCCUCCUAAAUCAUGCCUGGUGUUAUUGUCAUCAUGCAUUUGUCCUCCACUUCUUCUUCCCUUCCUCUUCGUCCCUGUGUUUUAAGCCUCUGAUCUAGCCACCUCCCGGGCCCUUGAGGGUUAUACUAUUCAGCCAUGGCUACCAUGGAAGGUUACCACUGGACCACUAGCUAGUGCUUGUCUACAAUCCUGAAGCCUUUUCUUGAGGUCUUGUUAGCCCACUCCUUCACUUUCGAACAAGUUAUUUCGCUCCUUACUGCUAUAUAAUUCGUCUCGAACAACAAUGGACCAAAAUCCUCUCAUUCUACUUCGAACCUUGC
This 484-nucleotide long non-coding RNA is filed under the name Populus trichocarpa (black cottonwood). RNAcentral's name for it is "long non-coding RNA (PTRI_LNC004844)". Lineage: Eukaryota; Viridiplantae; Streptophyta; Magnoliopsida; Malpighiales; Salicaceae. The record is from RNAcentral.